UUAGUUGAAGACCCCUUCUUGAUAAUGGAUGUUUUAUAGUUAGAGACUCUGUCACUAGUGGGGUUUCACUCACCGUCCUGGUGCCCUAUCAGUAAUUACUUCUUCCCUGUGGGGCUGUUCAGCAGUGACCAUAUCAGUGUGCAAAAUAUAGUUUCCUUUGAAAAGGAUGACCCACCAUUAAGAGGAAAUGUCUUUGAUGUGCCAGGAUUUCUUUUACUGUUCCUCAUUUAUGGAAGAGUUGCUGGCUGUGUCAAGGUGCAGGAUAAUUACCUGUUUACUACUGGAGGUGGAAGAAGAGAUAUCACACCAGAUGACAUGACUCUACCUGCUAUGUGGACACAGAGGUGGCCUAAUAUGUCCUUGUCAGAAUCUUGUGGCUGAAAUUUCUGUGCUGAAUGCGAGUAUUUUUUAAUGAGGUGGAGUCAGGUAAUUGGAGAAACUAAUCUACAAUACUUGUAGAUUAACUUGAACAGUCUUUUAUUUUGUGUUUCAUCGAUUAACAUGCUUAAUUUAAAUAUUAUUCAAAUUAACUUCACCUUAACUAUGCACAGAGUGAUGUGGAUAUUUGUGCAACAGCUCUGUUCACGCUCUAGCCUAGUUUGCUAUUUGUGCAGAUUAUUGUUAGACUGUGGUCCAAGUAGUGAGUCCUGUCCCUGUGUUUGAGCACCAGUGAAUUUUAAAUUAGUAUCCUGUAAUUCUGUAUGUAAACAAAAUAAAUUGUGUGUACUAGAACAGUUAUUCUGCUAAUGUCUAAAUACUGGAAUGUCUGCUGGCUUUGGGUAUCAUAUAGGAGAGCUGCACAGAGUAGAAUUUACUUGCUGUAGUUGCUUGAAUUCUACUCCCAGAAAAUCUGAGCAGUGCUGGGCUCUGCCAUUUUUUUGCUUAUGUCUAUUUACAUGCUGUUUUUUAAAGUCUUAGCACCCAAUUAACUAAUAGUUUGGUGCACAGUCUAUUAACAACCAAGAAGAAGUAUUUUAAAACCUAUAUGAUGGAAUGAAAAAUACUUGAUUGCUUCAAAGAAAGAUUGAGAUUGUAUUACUGAGUUCAUUCUUACUGUGGAGGGAAUCUUAUGGGACCUCAUAGGCUUCCGAGAAGAAAUGUUAAGAAAUAGUGUGUGUAGACUGCUUUUGCUCUGUGUUUUCACUGAGGGGUAUCUAUCAUGCAAGAUUAUUCCAUCAAAUUGUCCAAAGUGUUUCAUUUGAUUAGUUUCUACCUAUUCAGUGGGAGAGUUAGUGGUGAUUGGUUGUAUUGGUUUGUUUCUGCUCCCUGCAAGCACAAAUACCACCAUGUUUUUGCCAUGGAAUGUCCAGUAUGUGUACGUGGUACAGUGCUGAAGUUUAGGCGUACUUGUAUACUUCUCUAUUUUAGAGUUCAUUUGCAUCUAAUCAGGAUAACUGGAACCAACACUUAAAAAAAAGUCAGGUCAUAAGAACUAGAAUACUUUGGCUGUUGUAUCUCUCUUUUUCUUCUCCAGCAUAUAUAAUUCUAUGAAUUUUAUGGAAAGCACUAAUUUUUUCAGUGACUGUUUCUAUGUCUGAAUUUUUAUAUUUCUCUGUGAAUAAAAUGAAUAAAUCAUAUCUAA
Gallus gallus (chicken) is the source of this 1582-nucleotide long non-coding RNA. NCBI's taxonomy places the organism in Eukaryota, Metazoa, Chordata, Aves, Galliformes, Phasianidae. The record is from Ensembl.